This 467-nucleotide ribosomal RNA is filed under the name uncultured bacterium. Its description in RNAcentral is "bacterial SSU rRNA". It matches the Rfam family "Bacterial small subunit ribosomal RNA", at positions 39 to 507 of the family's 1533-position model. The record is from RNAcentral.
GCGGCAGGCUUAACACAUGACAAGUACGAGGGUAUAGUUCUUCGGAAUUAGAGACCGGCGCACGGGUGCGUAACGCGUAUGCAAUCUACCUUCACAAAGGGAUAGCCCAGAGAAAUUUGGAUUAAUACCUUAUAGUAAUACGACUUGGCAUCAAGAUGUAUUUAAAGAUUUAUCGGUGAAAGAUGAGCAUGCGUCCCAUUAGCUUGUUGGUAAGGUAACGGCUUACCAAGGCAACGAUGGGUAGGGGUCCUGAGAGGGAGAUCCCCCACACUGGUACUGAGACACGGACCAGACUCCUACGGGAGGCAGCAGUGAGGAAUAUUGGACAAUGGGCGCAAGCCUGAUCCAGCCAUGCCGCGUGCAGGAUGACGGUCCUAUGGAUUGUAAACUGCUUUUGUACAGGAAGAAACCCUUUCACGUGUGGAAGAUUGACGGUACUGUAAGAAUAAGGAUCGGCUAACUCCGUG